GUCGUAUGCAAUAUUUGUGAGAACAGCGACGAGGAUGAAUACCACGCGGUGGUCAGCUGCACAAAAAGCAGGGCACUAAGACAUGCCAUGAGAGAGGAGUGGGUUCUUCCUCCUGAAAGUUCUUUCUGGUACACGGGCUGUGACUGGUUACAGAUUCUAUUAAGUGCAGUUUCAGAGGAUACGAAAGCAAAGCUGCUGCUACUUCUGUGGAGGUGCUGGCACCUGAGGGAUAACUGCGUACACGGGAACGGCAAAGACUCUCAAUCACGGCGAACUGAGAAGUGCCGCGUCGGGGAACAGUCAAGCUCUGGCAAAGCGAUUGCUGCUACGCCCAACCACAUCACAUGGGUAGCGCGAUCGACUAGCAUGCGUUCGAUAGCACGCUGA
This 387-nucleotide ribosomal RNA is filed under the name Triticum aestivum (bread wheat). Its description in RNAcentral is "partial small subunit ribosomal RNA". Lineage: Eukaryota; Viridiplantae; Streptophyta; Magnoliopsida; Poales; Poaceae. The record is from RNAcentral.